Molecule: ribosomal RNA, 162 nt
Filed under: uncultured bacterium
Lineage: Bacteria
Description: partial 16S ribosomal RNA
Rfam family: Bacterial small subunit ribosomal RNA
Source: RNAcentral
UAGGGAAUCUUCCACAAUGGACGAAAGUCUGAUGGAGCAACGCCGCGUGAGUGAAGAAGGGUUUCGGCUCGUAAAGCUCGGUUGGUAGUGAAGAAAGAUAGAGGUAGUAACUGGCCUUUAUUUGACGGUAAUUACUUAGAAAGUCACGGCUAACUACGUGCC